Molecule: ribosomal RNA, 522 nt
Filed under: uncultured Paraglomeraceae
Lineage: Eukaryota; Fungi; Glomeromycota; Glomeromycetes; Paraglomerales
Description: SSU rRNA
Rfam family: Eukaryotic small subunit ribosomal RNA
Source: RNAcentral
AGCAGCCGCGGUAAUUCCAGCUCCAAUAGCGUAUAUUAAAGUUGUUGCAGUUAAAAAGCUCGUAGUUGAACCUUAGGCCCGUGCGGGUGGUCCGUCCUCUGGGCGAGCACUGCGUCGUCGCGGGUCUCACCUUCUGGCGAGCGUGGAUGCCAUUCACUUGGUGUCCGCGGGAACCAGGACCUUUACCUUGAAAAAAUUAGAGUGCUCAAAGCGGGCUCGUACGCUUGAAUACAUUAGCAUGGAAUAAUGAAAUAGGACGACGGUUCUAUUUUGUUGGUUUCCGGGACAGUCGUAAUGAUUAAUAGGGAUAGUUGGGGGGAUUCGUAUUCAAUUGUCAGAGGUGAAAUUCUUGGAUUUAUUGAAGACGAACUACUGCGAAAGCAUUUGCCAAGGAUGUUUUCAUUAAUCAAGAACGAAAGUUGGGGGAUCGAAGACGAUCAGAUACCGUCGUAGUCUCAACCAUAAACUAUGCCGACUGGGAAUCGGGCGAUGUUACUCUUUUGACUCGCUCGGCGCCCCGAG